Molecule: long non-coding RNA, 3784 nt
Organism: Cyprinus carpio (common carp)
Lineage: Eukaryota; Metazoa; Chordata; Actinopteri; Cypriniformes; Cyprinidae
Exons: 7
Source: RefSeq, a predicted model, not a curated record
CAGAGAAAACAUCUUUCACAAACAUCAACAUAUCGUUCUCUUUUAAAGUGUUUAGUGUAUAUGAUAAGUGGGGUUAUUAUAGCACAAUUCCCACCCAGAACACACUAAUUUUUAAAGCCUGGAUACGGCCACAGUGCCUUCCAUUCCCCCAGUGUGUUUCUCCUUUUCACAGUCUGGCAGAAAUGAUGGGUGGUUCCAAAAUACAUCAUCACAUGACAGUAAAAGUGUACAGUUGCUAAGAUGCAGGAGGUGGGUCAACAUACCCACUGGCUCAACUUACCCCACUCUCCCCUACUUCCAUUGAAGAUGAAGGCAGAAGCAGUCUCAGAGAGUGAGGGAGAGCCCAGUCUUAUUACAGUUAGUACAGAGUGUGCUGUCUUCUCUUUUAAUUGUAUAUUUGUAACAACUGGAUAAUUUGUAUUAACAAGCACCCACCACCCCCCUAGUGCCCCAUUUUUGGUUUGGCCACUGCCCCUCAAAAUGUCUGUGGACGACCCUGGUUCCUACACACCUGACUGGAAGCUUUCAUUGAUCCUAGUGACCUUGAUUAGCUGGUUCAGGUGUGUUUAAUUAGGACUGGAGAUAAACUUUGGCCUCGUCCACACGGAGACGCGUUUAGCUGUAUACGCAUAAAUUUUGUAUCGUAUAGGCGUUUCGUCCACACGGAUCCGGCGUUUUGGGAAAGUGAAACCGAUAUUUUUUUAAACCGUGUCCCAGAGUGUAUAAAUUUGAAAAUGCCGCCCUUGCGUUUUCGUGUGUACACCGAAUCCGUAUAUUUUGUGAAACAAUAAUGUCAUCAGCCCACGUCUUGCCCCUCAGACAUCGCUACGUCACGUAAUAGCAACAAAAACAUGAACAAACACUGAACGAUUGUCUUUUUAUUAACUAACAUUAAAACAUAUAAAUAAGUGUAUUGUUCCAUGUUCGUUUGUAUACUGCGCACAAGGUUUAUGCGCAUAGUCCAAAUCUUCUUCUCUGUUUUUAGUGUAUCUCUUUGGCACAUACUGCGCCACAUUACAGCGCCACAUACUGGUCUAAAAUAAAUUGACUGCUGGAAAGGUGUCAUUUAUGUUUGAAAAGGUUUUCCCCAAACUUUCAAAUGGUCAGAAAUAUUAAUGUUAUUUCAUCAUUAACUUACAUCAGAUGGCAACAUUAUUUUAUGACGACAUUUCAGUUGUAUUUUCAGUAUUUCAGCAAAAGUGAAAAAAAAAAACCCAACAUAUUAACAUUGAUAUAACAAUUUUACCAAUGAUAAUCUUUUGUUAAUUUCAAUAUUGAUUUAACAGCAGUGAUGUAGAAUCAACAUCAUAGUGUAAUGUUGAUUCACUGAUGUUAUCAUUGGUUGUUUUUGUUAAUUUCACUAUUGCUUCAACAUCGGUGAUGUGGAAUCAAUCAUAGUGUAAUGCUGAUUCAAAAAUAUUACCAUUGAUUAUUUUUGUUCAUUUCAAUGUUAAUUUAACAGCAGUGAUGUCGAAUCAAUCAUAGUGUAACUUUGCUGUUGCAAAAGUGAUACUGAACCAACACCACUUUGUAACAUUUAAUCAAUGCAGCUAGCAUUGAUGCAUCAACAUUGACUUAACAUCGUUUCAGUGGUUGCUUGCUAUCAGCUGAGCAAGUGAUAAUGCUAAAUUUAAAAUCUGUUCCAAUGAAGAAACAAACUCAUUUACAUCUUGGAUGACCUGAAGGUGAGUACAGUUUCAGCAAAUUUACUUUUUGGGUGAACUAUUCCUUUAAAGAAGGACUUUUUUUGUCUACAGCGUUAUAACAUUUUACAUUUUCCUCUGGCACAAUAUUCCCUCAUAAACCAUCACACCAGUUUUCCCUGACUGAAUUGGAAGAUAAAUUGACUUUUCCUCUAACAUGCCAAAUGAAACUUAUCACUUAUUUCAUUUGAAGACGGCACCGUUCACUUAAUGUAAGUCACAUGAAUUCUAGAAAAGCAUGCAAGGCAUUAUGUCUCUGAGUUCUAGUCUGCUUGAUUUAGUUUUUAAGUCGCAGGAGCAUAAGUGUCCCGGCCCACAAUGGAAUGCCAUGUGCCAUACCUGCUGUGAGUAUGAGCAGAUUUCAUGUAAGUGCCCAUCUCAGAGAACAAAGGUGGGCUAUGCUGUACCCUGCUGUCGAAACGCUCUGGAUGAGUGUGACCCCUGCAUCCUUCACCAGGGUAAGAGGAAACACAACUUUGUUAGACGUUUUGAACUUUAGAAGACCAGCAAGUGUAUUUUUUUCAAUCUGAGCAGUUUAUAUUAUAUUACAUUUUGAACUUUAGAAGACCAGAAAGGCUAUUUUUUCAAUCUGAGCAGUUCAUAUUAUGGUUUUAUAUUGCAUGCACAUGUGAUUUUUUUAUUUAUUUUUUUAAUAUAUGAGAGUCAGCAUACUUCAUUUAUUUGUUUAUUAAUUAUUUACGCAUUCCAAUUGCUGUUUUCAUAAACUUUAUUUAUUAAUUAAGUAAAUCAUUUCUAUAUCCACCAAGGCUGCAGCAUUUUUGACAACUGCAAGACUUGCAACAAUGGCGACUGGCAGGCCAAGGAUGAUCAGAGGCAGGUACUGCACAUCAUGUUGUCGAGGGUGGUCUUGUGGAGACUGUCUCACUUGCGAGAAGUUAUACAGAGACCACAUGGUCAUGUGAAAGUUGUCCAAUAAAUGCCAAAUGUGAAUGGACACACUACAGGUUGGCAAAGAAGCAACGAUGGAACUCAGAUACUGUGGGGAUGAAAGCCCUUCACCAAUCAGAAGUUCUGGAAACUCUCGUUUUGUGUCUGAUGGCUACAAUAACUAUGACGGCUUUUUUGCUACAUUCCAGGAAGUCUCAGAAGCAAUCAUAAAAGACUGUCCACCUCCACCACAACUCCACAAUGGAUACUCCACUGAGGUUUCAGUGGAGACUCAAAAAGUACACGCCAGAAGAAUGGGACCUGGAGCGGCAGUCGGCCUCUGUGUGUGAGAGCUUGCAGAGAACCUAAAGUUUCAAAACUUGUGCGGCAGAAGGUCUUAAAAUACCAACCUCCUUCCAGGAAAAGUCCAGUCCACAAGCUCUACUCUGCAUCCAUUCAGAGAGGGACUGAAGCAGACACACUGGAGAAAGCGUUUCCUGUUUUUGGAGAUUUGCCCCCAACUUUCCACCAUGUGUACACCAGCAUAGAAUAUGAGUGUGUUUCAGCGCUUUAAAAGCAUUCAGGUAGUGCAGUGGUUCCCAACCAUGUUCCUCGAGGCCCCCCGACACUGCACAUUUUGCAUCUCUCCUUUGUCUGACACACCUAUUUCUAGUGUUGGAGUCUCUACUAAUGAGUUGAUGAUCUGAAUCAGGUGUGUUUGAUUAAGGUGACAUGGAAAACAUGCAGUGUUGGGGGGCCUUCAGGAACAUGGUUGGGAACCACUGUGGUACUGCACGCAGUACCGUCGCAAGGGCUGUUUAACGUUUAGGCUGGUCUAGAGCCCUGCAUUUCACCCCAAUUUUCAUGACAUAGUUCAGACGCGGGCCGGGCCUCGGUCCUGUUUUAGGCUUCUUGUUAUUUUUAUAUUUUAGACAUCCAUCAAUUAUUGAUGAAAAAAUUGCCGCGCUGGUGGAAACAACAGGAGACCGUGCUACCACGACUGUCAAGAGCGACUCGACAGUGUUUAGUGUCCAGCAGCAGUAGCGUGCCAUCAGCGCAGCUGAAGAGUUCUGCAUUAAAAUGCACGCAAUAGGCUUAAGCUUGCAGCAAAGCAUCGACAAAAGUAAUUACCAUAAAUGAGUGAGGGGGAAAUAGGAAGGAGAUAUUUGAAUUCUUUGUUUCUGAGUCGGUGU